UUGGGAUGUGUAUAUUAUAAGGGCUAGUAUUAUAUUGAUUUAAUUGAUUCUCUCUAUUUUUGCUGUAAGUUUUAUAAUUCCUUAUCAUCCCAAGGGGGUUCAGAAAACGAUCAGAAGCAUUCUAAAUUAAAAUUUCAUUUAUCAUGCCCAUUAAACGUCCCUGUUUGAUAAGUUUUACUAAAUAUAACACUAGAGUCUGUCAAGUUUUAUAAGUCAAUCUUAAGAUUUAAAAUGAUUCUCUGCAUUAUAUCUCCUCGAAGAAACCAUCAAUUUUUCCUCAAAGAAACCGGCUUAAGUUAAAUAGUAAUAAAUUAAACACCAAGUGACAGGUCUCAAAUAUAUUGAAUAUAAGGUCAAAGGCUUACACGUGUUUCGCCUAUACUACGCAUCAUCAGAUCUUCUUAAAUAUUCACUAAUAAAAAGAAAAACCAAAAGCAACACUACAUGUUACAAGUCCAGGGUAAAAAACAAUAAAAUAGGACGGAGACUAGAUUGAAUGCACGGAAAUAAUCAACUAAUUUAUUAAGACACAUUACAUUACGAAACACGUCUACUUACGACUACUAGAAAUAAUAAUUUUUACUGUAUUUAUAUAUGUCUGAUUUAAAUCUCGCGCCAAUAUUCCGAACUUUACUUCACUUAACUGUCAACCGACUCCCAGCGGUGACGCGGCUCCUUAUAUACUUGGCUGACCAUGAUUCCGGAAUGACGGAAAAUCCGCUGGUUUCUCGGUGUUUACAAUAUCGUUACAAUAUGAACUAAAAUUUUGUUUUGUUAUCUAUUAAUAUUAUCAUUAUCUAUUUAUUAUAUUUUCUUGUGAUUAAAGUGAUAAGAUGUCUGAAAGAUACAAACAAUCAUCAUGGUCCUCCACCGAAAAAAAUUCAAAAUUCACCAUUGGCAUCAUCGGUCUUUUUCUGGAACUGCUGGUCUUCCUCCAUUACAACACUUUCAUCGGAUGGACGAACCAUUUCCACAUAUUCAGGGUCCUUUGCAGGAUAUUGGGAUGCACCUGUCUCCUGUUGGAUGGAAAAGCGGAAUUUUUUGGAAUCGCUUACGUCAUCAUGACCUUAUCCUGGACAGUUGAGUGGAUAUAUCGGAAACUCGCAUCCAUUUAACAUAACCUGAAGUGUAUAAUUAUAAAUAACUAUAUUGUGAUAUUUACUAAUUUAUUGUAAAUAAUAGGUUAAUACAGUGUGGCCCAAUGACAAAUCUGUGUGUUUUCGAAUAAAAGUAAUAUUUUUUUUUACAAGCGA
RNA transcript from Anthonomus grandis grandis, 1253 nucleotides. RefSeq lists it as uncharacterized. The transcript has 2 exons. NCBI's taxonomy places the organism in Eukaryota, Metazoa, Arthropoda, Insecta, Coleoptera, Curculionidae. The record is from RefSeq and is a predicted model, not a curated record.